RNAcentral lists this long non-coding RNA (684 nucleotides) under Mustela putorius furo (domestic ferret). RNAcentral describes it as "lncRNA (ENSMPUG00000023875.1)". The record is from RNAcentral. Lineage: Eukaryota; Metazoa; Chordata; Mammalia; Carnivora; Mustelidae.
AAAAGUUUGUUUUUCAAACUCUGAGUUUCUUGGGCCAUAGUUUUAAAAAAAGCCUCUAAGUAAACCAGAGGCCAAAGUUGGAUAACCCUGCGUACAGGCUGGGCAUUAAUUGGGGUAACAUGGACUCACUCUGUUGAGAGUCAUUAGGGAAAAGAAUUUGUAGGGAAUGAGGAAAGUGCAGUGGAGGUUUCUGUUGGAGGAGGUCAUUAAGAGGACGUGACCUCUGCUUGACCCUUGGGCUGAACCUAGGCAACUAGAGGCUCCUCAUCUCCUCUCCUGUCCUUGGAAUGUGUAUUCUGUCUAUUGUUCCCACAGUAGGAGCCAUUUCAAGGGCACAGCCUUAAGAGUGCAACGUGCUGGGGAGACCAGCAGGAUGGUAAUGGCACCGAACUCUGUUAAGGCUUCUAUAGAAGCUUUGAAGAUUCAGGUGCUUGGGUGCAGAGAUCAUCCUGCAGACACCCAAGACAAGCCUGCAUUUUCUGUAUCUUGUGCCUGGUAUCCGACGUUAGUUACAGAAUAAACAGUACUUUGCAAAGACUGACAGGGUCAGCUGCUCUGGGAAUGUGACCGGUGACCUCCCGGAUGGAUUAUCGUCCUGCAGGCUGCUUCCAAGUCAGUUGAAAGGUAAGCAUUCUUUCUGUAUAAGUGCACGCUGCUUUGGAACAUGGUUCAAUUUCAACUGAU